ACGGGAGGCAGCAGUGGGGAAUAUUGCACAAUGGGGGAAACCCUGAUGCAGCGAUGCCGCGUGGAGGAAGAAGGUUUUCGGAUUGUAAACUCCUGUCUUAAAGGACGAUAAUGACGGUACUUUAGGAGGAAGCUCCGGCUAACUACGUGCCAGCAGCCGCGGUAAUACGUAGGGAGCGAGCGUUGUCCGGAAUUACUGGGUGUAAAGGGUGUGUAGGCGGAGAAGCAAGUCAGGCGUGAAAUUUCCGGGCUCAACCCGGAAACUGCGCUUGAAACUGUUUCCCUUGAGAGUGGGAGAGGUAAACGGAAUUCCUGGUGUAGUAGUGAAAUGCGUAGAUAUCAGGAGGAACACCGGUGGCGAAGGCGGUUUACUGGACCACAACUGACGCUGAGACACGAAAGCGUGGGGAGCAAACAGGAUUAGAUACCCUGGUA
RNAcentral lists this ribosomal RNA (434 nucleotides) under uncultured Ruminococcus sp. Its description in RNAcentral is "partial 16S ribosomal RNA". It matches the Rfam family "Bacterial small subunit ribosomal RNA", at positions 341 to 792 of the family's 1533-position model. The record is from RNAcentral. Lineage: Bacteria; Bacillati; Bacillota; Clostridia; Eubacteriales; Oscillospiraceae.